AAGAAGAGAUUUCCCAACUUCGGUUAUAAGAUCCCUCAAAGAUGAUGAGGUUAAUAGGUUCGAGGUGGAAGCAUGGUGACAUGUGGAGCUGACGAAUACUAAUCGAUCGAAGACUUAAUCAAA
Molecule: ribosomal RNA, 123 nt
Filed under: Staphylococcus aureus
Lineage: Bacteria; Bacillati; Bacillota; Bacilli; Caryophanales; Staphylococcaceae
Description: partial 23S ribosomal RNA
Rfam family: Bacterial large subunit ribosomal RNA
Source: RNAcentral